Molecule: long non-coding RNA, 1031 nt
Organism: Conger conger (European conger)
Lineage: Eukaryota; Metazoa; Chordata; Actinopteri; Anguilliformes; Congridae
Exons: 2
Source: RefSeq, a predicted model, not a curated record
UCACUGGUGCAAAAAACAAACAGAAAAUCCAGUGAGCAGCAGUUCUGCGGACAGAAACACCUUGAGAGACGUCAGAGGAGAAUAGCCAAACUGGUCAAAGCUGACAGGAAGGUGACAGUAUCACAAAUAACCACACAUUACAACAGUGGUAUGCAGAAGAGCCUCUCUGAACACACAACGGAUAGGCUACAGCAGUAGAAUUGAUAGGCUACAGCAGAAGUCUAAAAAAUACCUGAUAAAUUUCUCACUGCUUACUCUGAGCAACUUAAUAUUCAACCACAGGCAUUUACUGAAUAAUUUAUGGAAGUACCUUACCCAAGGGUAGGCUACCACAACAGUUCACAAUCAAGGAUUAAAACCUUGGAGGUGCAAACCUAUCCCUAACCAUGAUGCUGCACUGUCACCUUCGCAUACAUGACGGCUUUGAUAUCAAAAGCGACUGCGACCCAGCAGUUCUCAUUUUGGAGUACAAACCAGGUCAGGAAUGUGUUUACCUCGUGUGAACUUACUAUGAUGUUAAACAGCAUGCUUUUCAAAUGCGGUAUUACAUCGCCAUGGAAACUGUUCUCAAGCCAAUUAGAACGUCAUCCAAUGAAAAGGACUUAAUAGGAGUGAACAAAGGGCCCCGAACUUGUUUGCCUGAGCAAGAACGUCUUUAGUCUACGUCGGACGAAACCAAAGCUUCAUUUAAAGGGCUAAAGAAAUCAAAAUGUCUGGAUUUACUCAUUCUUUCAGUUUUCUUAGAAGCAAAAUGAGACCACUGACCACUCUCAAAGCCAACAUUGUGACCAAGCCGGCGAAGCACACUAUAUCCAUUGGUGAGCAAGUUUUUGUGAUGGGCGUGAUGUUCGUCACCGUUUUGGGACCGUCAGGGUGGAUUCUCGCCAAUUUGGAAGCGUACAAAGCCCGCUGAAUGACCUCGUUAAAUCGUCGUCCUGGAAUAACCAUUUUCGAAGACCCUUUUGCUCUUACCGAUGUUCAGAAUGGUUUUAAUGGCCUCAAAACUCCUAAUAAAUAUAAAGGAAAUUAUA